UUCCCAAGCUUUAAAAAUCCCAAGGAGCACUGUGCAAGCGAUAAUAUUGAAAUGGAAGGAGUAUCAGACCACUGCAAAUCUACCAAGACCUGGCCGUCCCUCUAAACUUUCAGCUCAUACAAGGAGAAGACUGAUCAGAGAUGCAGCCAAGAGGCCCAUGAUCACUCUGGAUGAACUGCAGAGAUCUACAGCUGAGGUGGGAGACUCUGUCCAUAGGACAACAAUCAGUCGUAUAUUGCACAAAUCUGGCCUUUAUGGAAGAGUGGCAAGAAGAAAGCCAUUUCUUAAAGAUAUCCAUAAAAAGUGUUGUUUAAAGUUUGCCACAAGCCACCUGGGAGACACACCAAAAAUGUGGAAGAAGGUGCUCUGGUCAGAUGAAACUGAAAUUGAACUUUUUGGCAACAAUGCAAAACGUUAUGUUUGGCGUAAAAGCAACACAGCUCAUCACCCUGAACACACCAUCCCCACUGUCAAACAUGGUGGUGGCAGCAUCAUGGUUUGGGCCUGCUUUUCUUCAGCAGGGACAGGGAAGAUGGUUAAAAUUGAUGGGAAGAUGGAUGGAGCCAAAUACUGUCACGAAUCCCGCUUCCUGAGUCUGUGUUUGCCUGUGUUUCUGUCCUGGAGUGUGUUUCCGGUGUCCUGGAACGCACCCUGUCUGGUUGCCGGGCGAAUUAGCUUGUUGGGAGAUCGAUGUUCACCCGCACCUGUAUCCCAUCAGUAAUCUGCACACCUGUCCUGAUCAUCACCUCUCCCCUUCAAAAGCUCUGACCUGACAUCCAUUCCCUGCCGGAUCGUUAGCCAUGAACACCAUUCACCCGGAACCCAUACCCCAUCCCUGUCUGCUCGUCGCCAGUGUGUUGUUAUCCAUUGGAUCUGCCUAUCCACUCCCAUCAACCCACCUCCGCUGCCCGCUCCUCCACCCGGAACUAUCUACCUCCACGUUCUCAUUGAUUAAUAAAUACUCACCAUCUUUAUA
Oncorhynchus nerka (sockeye salmon) is the source of this 976-nucleotide long non-coding RNA. RefSeq lists it as uncharacterized. The record is from RefSeq and is a predicted model, not a curated record. NCBI's taxonomy places the organism in Eukaryota, Metazoa, Chordata, Actinopteri, Salmoniformes, Salmonidae. The transcript is spliced from 2 exons.